Molecule: long non-coding RNA, 558 nt
Filed under: Brassica napus (rape)
Lineage: Eukaryota; Viridiplantae; Streptophyta; Magnoliopsida; Brassicales; Brassicaceae
Description: long non-coding RNA (BNAP_LNC012536)
Source: RNAcentral
CCGGCGAUAGAUUUUUAGGUGGGUUCCGUCUGUUUUUCCCAUUUUUUUCCUUGUUUUAACGAUUUUUUAUGGAUCUCAUCAUUAAUAUCAGAAUAUUUUCUCAAUGGCAUAAAAUUGAAAUUGUAGUGUCAAACUAUGAGCAAAAUUCUAGGAGGUAUUUUGCUUUAAUAAUAUAUAUAUAUUGUUGGCUAUCCAAUAUAUAUGUUUCUUAAAUAAAUAUGUUUCUUAAAACAUCAUUAGAGUUUGUUUUCAGGAUUUUAAGAAAUGAUAAAAUCCCAAAGACAAAUUUUUCAAUUUGUUUUUCUUUAACAGUUAAUUUUUUGACUAAUAAAUCAUUUUUUAGCAUGCAUGCCUAGUUCAAAUACUUGAAACUUUUGAUAGGGUUGACAACCAUGAUGCCAAAGCUCAUUCCAGGAUACCUAAAAGUCAAUGCGAAGUCUAGCAAAUAUACACCUGAGGAAGUUAGAUGUUCCAAAACAAAGUCCAAUCAACAUCUUAUGUUGCCUCUGUCAUUCCCCACUUAUGUUGCCUCUGUCAUUCCCCAAAAAACGCAAUGUC